CCUACGGGCGGCAGCAGUGAGGAAUAUUGGUCAAUGGACGAGAGUCUGAACCAGCCAAGUAGCGUGAAGGAUGACUGCCCUAUGGGUUGUAAACUUCUUUUAUAUGGGAAUAAAAUGUUCCACGUGUGGGAUUUUGUAUGUACCAUAUGAAUAAGGAUAGGCUAACUCCGUGCCAGCAGCCGCGGUAAUACGGAGGAUCCGAGCGUUAUCCGGAUUUAUUGGGUUUAAAGGGAGCGUAGGUGGAUUGUUAAGUCAGUUGUGAAAGUUUGCGGCUCAACCGUAAAAUUGCAGUUGAAACUGGCAGUCUUGAGUACGGUAGAGGUAGGCGGAAUUCGUGGUGUAGCGGUGAAAUGCUUAGAUAUCACGAAGAACUCCGAUUGCGAAGGCAGUUCACUGGACUGCAACUGACACUGAGGCUCGAAAGUGUGGGUAUCAAACAGGAUUAGAUACCCUUGUAGUC
RNAcentral lists this ribosomal RNA (460 nucleotides) under uncultured bacterium. Its description in RNAcentral is "partial 16S ribosomal RNA". It matches the Rfam family "Bacterial small subunit ribosomal RNA", at positions 338 to 795 of the family's 1533-position model. The record is from RNAcentral.